GGAAGAGUCGCAUAGCGGUCUAGUGCGAGCGCUUGGAAAGCGCUUAUGGUGCAAGCCAUCGCAGGUUCAAAUCCUGUCUCUUCCGCCA
RNAcentral lists this transfer RNA (88 nucleotides) under Christensenellaceae bacterium. Its description in RNAcentral is "tRNA-Ser". It matches the Rfam family "tRNA". Rfam says of the family: Transfer RNA (tRNA) molecules are approximately 80 nucleotides in length. The record is from RNAcentral. Lineage: Bacteria; Bacillati; Bacillota; Clostridia; Christensenellales; Christensenellaceae.